Molecule: ribosomal RNA, 499 nt
Filed under: uncultured bacterium
Lineage: Bacteria
Description: partial 16S ribosomal RNA
Rfam family: Bacterial small subunit ribosomal RNA
Source: RNAcentral
AUUGAACGCUGGCGGCAUGCCUUACACAUGCAAGUCGAACGGCAGCACGGGAGCAAUCCUGGUGGCGAGUGGCGAACGGGUGAGUAAUAUAUCGGAACGUGCCCAGUAGUGGGGAUAGCCCGGCGAAAGCCGGAUUAAUACCGCAUACGACCUACGGGUGAAAGGGGGGGAUCGCAAGACCUCUCGCUAUUGGAGCGGCCGAUAUCAGAUUAGGUUGUUGGGGGGGUAAAAGCCCACCAAGCCGACGAUCUGUAGCUGGUCUGAGAGGACGACCAGCCAGACUGGGACUGAGACACGGCCCAGACUCCUACGGGAGGCAGCAGUGGGGAAUUUUGGACAAUGGGCGCAAGCCUGAUCCAGCCAUGCCGCGUGCGGGAAGAAGGCCUUCGGGUUGUAAACCGCUUUUGUCAGGGAAGAAACGGCUUUUUCUAAUACAGAGAGCUAAUGACGGUACCUGAAGAAUAAGCACCGGCUAACUACGUGCCAGCAGCCGCCGUAA